CUGUUCCUUCUCCUCUCUCCUCCGUAUGUGACUGUCAAACCACCCACCGCCUCCCUUCACAGGAAGAGACAACUCUGGGACUGAGCACCAACUGUCUGAGGACUUCUCUGGGUGACUGCGACUCAAUGGCUGCUAACAAGUCACGCGUAAAGAGCAAGACAAAAAUGUGCCAGAGCAGACGCCCGUACACUGUCAUGUACCGGAAAAUGAAAACUUCUCAUAGAAGUUACGCCAAUUCAGACGGCUAAUGACCCGACAAAAGGCAAAAUAUGUGCAUUUUUAGUGACAGUGGGCAUGGUUUUAGGUGCGUCAAUUAUUUCACCAGGAUUUAGAAACCCGACCUACCCGCCAACUCCUAGAAAAGUAAUGACAAACUUAAAAUCCUGAAAUGUUUUAUGAUCGGCCAAAAAGACAGCUGAAGAAAACAGAAUGGAAUGGAGACCUUUCACAAGAUGCCCCACAAGAGCAGAGGUGAGGCAGCUGUACGUCUUGCCGGUGCUCUGUGCACGCCCACCUGCCCCUGGAAGCACCUCCACAAGUGUGUAAGAGCAUCCCAGAAGCCGCCAGUGGGCAGCAGGCAAGGAGCUCGCUGCGCCGCGGUCAAGGAAGGUGUGGGUGCUGGGGUCCACGUGACCGACACACAGUGCUUCUCCUUAAGGACCAGACAUCCCCACUUCUGAAAGACCCUAACUUGAGGAUUCUUCAGAAUUCUCUAGAAGCCGCUGACUACAGAAGCAGACACCUCCUACCCAAGACAGUGAAACGAGACUUUCUUCAUUAGUGAGUCUAGCUGAUUUACAACGCUGUGGCAGAACAAGGCUGUUUCUGAUUCAUGCGCCACUUUUCUGUCCUUUGCUUGGCCGAUCUUACCUAUCAGCACAGCCGGGCCACUGUCAGGACAGUAACAGGAGUUUCCUUAUCUUCAUCCUGUUACUCGUAUCCCCUAAGGUCUCCGGUUUCUACCUCGGGACUCAGAGAACUCUCCGGAACAUGUUCCCGACCCUCGACCCUCGACCCUCAACCCUGGGGGAUUGCUCCAGACGACCCUCUGCUGGACCUGACGCCCGCCGCCCGCCGGCUGUCCUUACAAGCACGGUCAAGAAUACGCCGUCCUUUCACGUGGCCUUUAGCCCUGCUCAGGGAAAGGCUUGGGCACUAAGAACCUGCACUUCGUUCCGACACAGCACACUUCUCUACGAGGAGGGGAGAAGAGGGUUCACAUUACCAUCAGCUGCAGCAAAACUGGAACAGGAUUAAGACGGCGGAACAGAAAGACUGGAGCUCAACUGCUCUCCCCAAAACAACAGAAUUUACAACCAAAUGCUGCCCAAUUUUCAACCAAAUGGACCAGAAGCUUUCAAAAAGACAUCCUACUCCAGAAGACACAGAGGACACCACAUCAAGAGGUAGGAGGGGCAAUUACGUGAUAUGAGCAACCCCAUACCUCCGUAGUGGGAAGCCCCACAGACUGGAAAGUAACUGGUUCAGAGACUCACCUACAGGAGUGAGAGUUCUGAGCCCCACAUCAAACUCUCACAUGUGGGGAUUCGGCACUGGGAGAAAGAGCCCCUGGAGCACUGGGCAUUGAAGGCCAGUGGGGCUUAUGUGCAGGAGCUCCGUGGGACUGGGGGAAAUAGAGACCCCACUCUUAAAAGGCACACACAGAAUUUCAUGUGCACUGGGUCCCAGGGCAAAGCAAAGUCUCCAUAGGAAUCUGGGUCAAACCUGACUGCAGUUCUUGGAGGACCUCCUGGGAAAAAAGGGGUGAAGGUGGCUUAUUGUGAGGGAGGGACAUUGGAAGCAAAGCUCUCGGGAAUCUUUAGCAGCAUGCCUUUCUCUGGAGGUGGCCUGUUUUUUGGGAAAAUCUGGCCCCACCCAUUGGUGCUGAGAAGCCCUAGGGCAAACAACAGUCCAGGUGGGAUCACAGCCCUGCCCAUCAGUAAACAGGCUGCCUAAAGACCCCCCCGCACACCGUCACCUCUAAUCUCACCCAGAGACAAAGCCCCACCCACCAGAGAGAUAGGAAUCAGCCCCAUCUACCAAUGGGUAGGCACCAGUCCCUCCCAUCUGGAAGCCUACAGCAAGCUCCCAUACCAACUUCAGCCACAAGGGGGGCAGACACCAGAAGAAAGAGAUAGUAUAACUCUAUUGUCUGCAAAAAGGAGAACACACCAAAAACCUAUAAAAAUGAAAAGGCCACGAGCUAUAACUCAGGUAAGGGAGAAAGGAAAAAACCCAGAAAAACAGCUAGGUGAUCUGGAGAUUCUCAGCCUCAAGGAAAAAGACUUUAUAGACUGUUGAUGCUGAAGAUGAUGUAAGACACUGGAAAUAAACUGGAGGCAAAGACGGGUAACUUACAGGAAACCCUGAGCAAAGAGAUACAAGAUACAAAACUUAAGUAAGAAGAGAUGCAAAAUACAACAACUGAAAUAAAAAAUUCAUUAGAAGCAGCCAACAGCAGAAUACAGGAGGCAGAAGAAUGAAUGAGCGAGGAGGAUGGCAGAUUAGUGGAAAUUACAGAUGC
This 2524-nucleotide long non-coding RNA is filed under the name Sus scrofa (pig). RNAcentral's name for it is "lncRNA (ENSSSCG00025043137.1)". Lineage: Eukaryota; Metazoa; Chordata; Mammalia; Artiodactyla; Suidae. The record is from RNAcentral.